AAGUCGUAACAAGGUAACCGUAGGUGAACCUGCGGUUGGAUCAUUAUCAGAAUGAGAAAUGGGGGCCAAGGCUUGGGCUGCUCUGUAGGUUAAACCCUCGCGGCAGGUCGGGCAGCCUUUGGCCUUCGGGUCUAACUUUGAACUACAGAACCAGUCUGAUUCCCCGCCGACCGUAGGGGAUAGGUAGGCAGCGCUCCGCUUGGAGCGUCCGACUAGUUUUGAACUACAGUGCAGGCCUGAUUCCCCCUCCGCCCGUGGGGGAUAGGUAGGCAGCGCUCCUGUUGGGAGUGUCCGGCCAUGUUCACACACUUUGCAAAAACAUUUUUUCAAUGACUUGUGCAAUGCAAAAACAACUUUUGGCAACGGAUCUCUUGGCUCUC
RNAcentral lists this unclassified non-coding RNA (380 nucleotides) under fungal sp. RNAcentral describes it as "partial internal transcribed spacer region". The stretch from base 1 to 46 matches the Rfam family "Eukaryotic small subunit ribosomal RNA", at positions 1786 to 1831 of the family's 1831-position model. Lineage: Eukaryota; Fungi. The record is from RNAcentral.